GUGGUACAAAUGGUUAAUGCAUUUGGCUGUUAACCAAAAGGUUGGUGGUUUGAGUCCACCC
Molecule: transfer RNA, 61 nt
Filed under: Loxodonta africana (African savanna elephant)
Lineage: Eukaryota; Metazoa; Chordata; Mammalia; Proboscidea; Elephantidae
Rfam family: tRNA
About the family: Transfer RNA (tRNA) molecules are approximately 80 nucleotides in length.
Source: Rfam by way of RNAcentral